AGUCCUCCUCCUCCGCCCCUCCUCCUGAGCCCUCCUCCUCCUCCUCCUCCCCUCCUCCUGUAGACUGUGGGCUGUGUUGGAUGUUGCUGUUCAGUCUGUGUCCUGUGUCUGCUCUCCUCUCCUCUCUCCUCUCCUUUGCCUGUUUCUACUCCUUCUGCAGAACAACAGCUCCAACUGAGACUCAGGUUCCUCUGAACAGGACGACCACCAGGGGAAGUGACAGCAGAGAGCAGACUACAGUCAGAUACCUACGCAUCCAUUAAAUCCAGCAUUAUGAGACCGAAACCAUCCAUCAAUACCAGCAGAGUGAGACCCAUUACCAGCCUACAAAACCAGCAGUGUGAGACCUAUACAAGCUAUCAAUACCAGCAGAGUGCGACCUAUACAAGCUAUCAAUACCAGCAGAGUGAGACCUAUACAAGCUAUCAAUACCAGCAGAGUGCGACCUAUACAAGCUAUCAAUACCAGCAGAGUGAGACCUAUACAAGCUAUCAAUACCAGCAGUGUGAGACCUAUACCAGCUAUCAAGACCUAUACAAGCUAUCAAUACCAGCAGUGUGAGACCUAUACCAGCUAUUAAGACCAAUACCAGCCAUCAAUACCAGCAGAGUGAGACCUAUACCAGCCAUCAAUACCAGCAGAGUGUGAG
Oncorhynchus kisutch (coho salmon) is the source of this 649-nucleotide long non-coding RNA. RefSeq lists it as uncharacterized. NCBI's taxonomy places the organism in Eukaryota, Metazoa, Chordata, Actinopteri, Salmoniformes, Salmonidae. The record is from RefSeq and is a predicted model, not a curated record. The transcript has 3 exons.